RNAcentral lists this ribosomal RNA (253 nucleotides) under uncultured bacterium. RNAcentral's name for it is "partial 16S ribosomal RNA". It matches the Rfam family "Bacterial small subunit ribosomal RNA", at positions 524 to 776 of the family's 1533-position model. The record is from RNAcentral.
UACGUAGGGCGCAAGCGUUAUCCGGAAUUAUUGGGCGUAAAGAGCUCGUAGGCGGUUUGUCGCGUCUGCCGUGAAAGUCCGGGGCUCAACUCCGGAUCUGCGGUGGGUACGGGCAGACUAGAGUGAUGUAGGGGAGACUGGAAUUCCUGGUGUAGCGGUGAAAUGCGCAGAUAUCAGGAGGAACACCGAUGGUGAAGGCAGGUCUCUGGGCAUUAACUGACGCUGAGGAGCGAAAGCAUGGGGAGCGAACAGG